ACUCGUAGGCGGUUUGUCGCGUCUGCUGUGAAAACUGGAGGCUCAACCUCCAGCCUGCAGUGGGUACGGGCAGACUAGAGUGCGGUAGGGGAGAUUGGAAUUCCUGGUGUAGCGGUGGAAUGCGCAGAUAUCAGGAGGAACACCGAUGGCGAAGGCAGAUCUCUGGGCCGUAACUGACGCUGAGGAGCGAAAGCAUGGGAGCGAACA
This 207-nucleotide ribosomal RNA is filed under the name uncultured bacterium. RNAcentral's name for it is "partial 16S ribosomal RNA". It matches the Rfam family "Bacterial small subunit ribosomal RNA", at positions 567 to 774 of the family's 1533-position model. The record is from RNAcentral.